UACGGAGGGUGCAAGCGUUGUCCGGAUUUAUUGGGUUUAAAAGGUGCGUAGGCGGCUUUUUAAGUCAGUGGUGAAAUACAGCAGCUCAACUGUUGAGGUGCCAUUGAUACUGAGAGGCUUGAGUACAGAUGAGGUAGGCGGAAUUUAUGGUGUAGCGGUGAAAUGCAUAGAUACCAUAAAGAACACCGAUUGCGAAGGCAGCUUACUAAGCUGUAACUGACGCUGAGGCACGAAAGCGUGGGGGAGCGAACAGG
Molecule: ribosomal RNA, 254 nt
Filed under: uncultured bacterium
Lineage: Bacteria
Description: partial 16S ribosomal RNA
Rfam family: Bacterial small subunit ribosomal RNA
Source: RNAcentral